Molecule: ribosomal RNA, 460 nt
Filed under: uncultured bacterium
Lineage: Bacteria
Description: partial 16S ribosomal RNA
Rfam family: Bacterial small subunit ribosomal RNA
Source: RNAcentral
CCUACGGGUGGCAGCAGUGAGGAAUAUUGGUCAAUGGCCGGAAGGCUGAACCAGCCAUGCCGCGUGAAGGUCAGUGCCCUAUGGGCGUUAAACUUCUUUUGUGCGGGAGCAAUAAUGGUCACGUGUGGCCAGACGAGAGUACCGUACGAAUAAGCAUCGGCUAACUCCGUGCCAGCAGCCGCGGUAAUACGGGGGAUGCAAGCGUUAUCCGGAUUUAUUGGGUUUAAAGGGUGCGUAGGCUGUGAGGUAAGUCAGCGGUGAAAUGCCCCCGCUCAACGGGGUGAAGUGCCAUUGAUACUGCCUGGCUGGAAGGCGGAUGCCGUGGGAGGAAUGUGUGGUGUAGCGGUGAAAUGCAUAGAUAUCACACAGAACACCGAUUGCGAAGGCAUCUCACGAAUCCGCGAUUGACGCUGAUGCACGAAAGCGGGGGUAUCAAACAGGAUUAGAUACCCCAGUAGUC